RNAcentral lists this ribosomal RNA (250 nucleotides) under uncultured bacterium. RNAcentral describes it as "partial 16S ribosomal RNA". It matches the Rfam family "Bacterial small subunit ribosomal RNA", at positions 524 to 773 of the family's 1533-position model. The record is from RNAcentral.
UACGGAGGGUGCAAGCGUUGUCCGGAUUUAUUGGGUUUAAAGGGUGCGUAGGCGGCCCGUUAAGUCAGUGGUGAAAUCCCGCAGCUCAACUGCGGAACUGCCAUUGAUACUGGCGGGCUUGAGUACAGACGAGGUAGGCGGAAUUUAUGGUGUAGCGGUGAAAUGCAUAGAUACCAUAAAGAACACCGAUAGCGAAGGCAGCUUACUAGACUGUAACUGACGCUCAGGCACGAAAGCGUGGGGAGCGAAC